Long non-coding RNA from Gadus chalcogrammus (walleye pollock), 1252 nucleotides. RefSeq lists it as uncharacterized. NCBI's taxonomy places the organism in Eukaryota, Metazoa, Chordata, Actinopteri, Gadiformes, Gadidae. The record is from RefSeq and is a predicted model, not a curated record. The transcript has 9 exons.
GGGGGGGGAAACUCCAGGCCUUGCAGUCCUGAUCCUGUAUGAUGCAGAAGAUGUCAAUCCAACCGCACAUUGAUCUCUGCAGCGUGGUCGGUGGGAGGAGAUGUGGCCGAGCUCUUGAACCAGGCUCUAUCGGUAUUUUGGACCCAACUACUGCCGUUUGAUGUUAGGUCAGGACGCGUUGGUGGAGGAGUGCUGAUGGACGAGAGCCGAUGGCGCCAUGGUGGACGAGAGAAGAAUGUUCUACCAUUCUCCUGCAUAACACAUUUUCAAACCCGAUGGCCUUGGCUGAUGGAGGAACUGCAUCUGGAGGACGACCAUGAAUCUACCUGCCAACAGGUGGUACUGGUUUGCACUGGUUUGCAUGAACUGAACAUGGUGGACAUGAGGCAAAUUCCCUGGUUUUUGCUCCAGACCAGGACUCUGUGAGGGGUGGUGAUGGAGCCGUGCUGAGGACCCGCUGGUGACGGACGUCCCUCGGUGGGGGGGCAAGGACAGCCGACCCUGAGGAUCCGCUCGGAUGUACGAUCGCUACGAUGCGACUGCAGAGGUCUCUGGAAGACCAGGAGUCCUUGGCUGAGGAGAGCUGAUGGAGGAGCCGUGCACCUGGAGAACCAUGAGUCUGCCUGCCAACAAGUAGUACUGGGAUAGGGAGGUGAUGGAGGACCUGCCUGGUGAAGGACGUCAGGGUGGGGUGAGUGACACCCGACUCCAAGGGGAUAUCCACUGAGGAGAGAGCUGAAGGAGCCAUGCAUCUGGAAGGUGCAGUUGAAAUGCUGUGUCCAGUCUGGGACAGACAGACCUGAGCUACGUCAAGCCUGUAUCUCUGACCAGCUGGAGUCCCUUAGUGAUCAACAACCGCCACUCAUCGCUGGCCUGUGGAUUCAUCUCCUCCACACUCACACAACAGGACUUUGGCCUGUGGAUUCAUCUCCUCCACACUCACACAACAGGACUUUGGCCUGUGGAUUCAUCUCCUCCACACUCACGCAAUGUGACCUUCUCACCAUCUGUUGCACAUUUGGAUGCACCUAGCGUGUUCCAUCGAGGGUUCCUUCCUCCCCAUGGUGGGAGGGUUCCUUGUCCUUCAAGGCGUCGGGGUUCAGUGUUAGGGACAGAGUUAGGGACAGAUGGCUGCGCUGGAUUCACGAUACACGCUUUGAUCAAAAUGGGUUCGGACAUCGGACAAAUCGCUUCCCUAAAUGUUUCAAUGUGCAAACGAUUUUAUAAAAUGUAUACUCGUGGUGUUUAUAUA